Non-coding RNA from Vicugna pacos (alpaca), 1982 nucleotides. Lineage: Eukaryota; Metazoa; Chordata; Mammalia; Artiodactyla; Camelidae. The record is from RefSeq and is a predicted model, not a curated record.
UUUCGUAAACAGCAAUAUAAAAUUUCCACUUAAAAAGAAAAACAAAGAAAUAAAAAACUUCUUCCAGGUUUUCUGAUAAAGAUAGGUGUGUGUGUGUGUGUGUGUGUGUGUGUGGUGGGGGGUGCAGAAUUGGCCUUACACCUUUGAAAAUAAUAUGUUGAUUUAUGAUGAUUAAAAGGGAGAAGUAGAAUGGAAACAGGAAAAAAUAACACUGGUUUGCCUACGAGAGACUCAGAUUAGAGGUAAGGAUUCAUUUUAAGAAUGAUGAGGGAGGUGUGAGUAUUGAUCUGGGUAGGAGCUACUGACUGUGAGCAGGACAUCCAAGGAGGCUAACCAGGGAUACAGCUCAAUGGGCGAUACUUGGAAAACUAAGACCCCAUUACAAAGCUGGGGGACUGCAUCAGAAUGCACUUGAACCCCGGCAUGCACACAUUUAAAUCUCCCAACCCAGUUCCUCCCUUUUGGUCAAAGUGCACCCAAGUCAUCCCCAGUGGAGAGUUCACAUUGCAUGGUCCAGAGUCUUGGAAGGUCCUCACUUAUCUAAAGGUCUCCUCUGUUUGGGGAGCUCAGGGGCUGGCUAAGAAGGCUUAACAUUUUUCUACUAAAAAUGACACACACCCACUUUCUCCCCUUCCAUGGCAUGUGCAAAUCUAGUUAGCUGAAUGUAGCUUAGAGACAGUCCUACACUGCCACGAUGGGUACAGGCACACGCUUAGUCAUACAAAAUAGCACCGUUAGCAAGUGUGUGUGCUAGCACAUGCCAUUAAUUCAUCAAGUGAAUUCCUGUUUGUUCUAAGUCUCCACUGAGACCCCAACAAUAUGUGAUUCCGUGAAACAUUCUGCCACAAACUUGGUUCUGUCCCUUGUCUGUCCUCCCUUUGCUUGGCCAACCCCAGUUUAGGAUCUCCUGACAGAGGGCCAGCACUCACAUUGCAAAGUUUUCAUUUUUGACCUGAUAUCUUUGAUUUGCUCUGCUACUGUUCCUCUUUGUCUGAUCUUUUCAUCAUCCCUUUAUUCUUGUCUCUUCUCCUUCAUAUCUUAGUACCAGGCUCCUCGCCCACACACAUCUGAUCUACCCAUCCUCACUGUCGGUUUCCAGGUUGGCCUCAGCCAGAAUGUGAUGGUACUAUACUUCUUUACAACAUACUUUUCAUUGUAACAUAAAAUGUUACAGCAAUUCAAUGAUAUAUAUUCUUCUUUAUUUAAGAAUACUUGUGACACUGUAAUUUUUUUUUCACAUGGGUAGGUCUGCCCUCCGUGAUGUCUCCUUAUCAUCUUGCUGCCCUGAAUAACAUUUCCCACUUGAGAAACACAUCUGUCAGGUGAUGUCAACGCCUGGCUUCCUCUUCUUCCUGUUGGGUUCAAAACGUGGCCUUCUCUCAUGGUCCUGGAAUGCUGACAUGGUCGAGUGGCCAGAGCCAAACACAGGGUUUGCAUGGUUGACUGUUCCUAAUCAGAGAUCACCUUGGUGACACACCGAGUUCCUCUGAAGCUGGGCACCGGUAGGCCCCCAGGGAAAUGAAGCAUGUGGCUACUUCAGCCAGACAGUCAGUCUCUGUUUGAUGACUGUGCAAUGACUGAGAAAGCCUUCUGACUUCACUCCUGUGCUCCGGCAUUGUCAUGGCUUUGGUGCUUGGAGCAUCGAUUCGGCACUGCCUUGUGAGAUCCAGGAAAAUAAAAAUGAAUCAGUAAAAACAUUUUUACUUGGAUCAUCCAAGGAACUCUCUCAGGAGACAGAGGAGAAUCCAGACAAAGAACUGAUAAAACUGGUUGUCUUAAUCUGCCACUUCCCUCAUUCUGCCAGAAAGUUAGCAAUCCAAUGUGAGCAUGAUCAGCAGUGUGUAAAAAACCUAUAAUUAAGGACUCGAUGUUUUCUCUACUGGCUUUAUCUUUUAAAUAAGAACACCUCUUCAACUGUAAACAACAGCUCUUGGUGGCUGUUUUUAUUUGAAUAAAAUUGUGUUUAAAAUUGUUAAAAAUUA